CAAAGCUAUAAAGAAGCCCCCGAGGUAAGAAACUAGCAAAAACACCACCACCGGUCACGCCCGCGCUGUGCCGCGAGCUGCAAAGACAAGCGGCGUGGGGUUUGGAGGCGUCCACGCUUCUCGUCGGGGAGAAAGGAAGUCUUUGGAAUUUUGGAGAAAAAGAAAAGCGUCACUUAACGACCCUAGAGUUUUCGCAGCUGAAAUAAAUGAGUGGCCAACGCACUGUUCCUAACAAGGAUCUAGAAAGUUUCCAGCCAGACUGAAGGGCAACUGUGUCCGACUUAAAGGGACAAUGGUGACUCGUUUUGUGAGAUGCAUACGGCAAAGAAUAGAGCCAAAAUCCUUUGAAAAUAUUUCAAACGUUAAAGAAAUUGUUGCUUAUUUACAUCCUUCUAAAGUUUUUGGACUCCACUCUAUUAAAAUGUGUUCAUUUCUUAUGACCUUUAUUUGCAAGGAAAAUUGUAUCUAUGCUUUGAGUGUCAAAUUGCAAUAACGAAUUUCAGAAAGCAUUUUGUCAUUGGAAAUGUGUCUACAUAUAAUAAAGUAACCAAACGUCUGUGUUCCAAACAAAAGCAGAGAACUGUACUGAGAUUGUAUUGAGAUUUGAGAUUUUUAAUGGAUUGCAUCCAUUAAAAAGAUGCAGCAUUGUAUUCAUAAGAUACCAACUAAGUAAUUUAAAUAUUGAGAGGAAAACUGUUUU
Long non-coding RNA from Myotis davidii, 700 nucleotides. RefSeq lists it as uncharacterized. The record is from RefSeq and is a predicted model, not a curated record. The transcript is spliced from 2 exons. Lineage: Eukaryota; Metazoa; Chordata; Mammalia; Chiroptera; Vespertilionidae.